CAUAGCCUCAACCUAAGGAAAUGAUCGACAAUCGAUUGACGACAGGAGUUAUCAACAUGAUUUUCGAGCGAUCGAGUGAUUGGAGGGCAACUUUCAAAGAAGAGUCUGUAAAGAAGCAACAACUUGAUGAUAAUGUAAUCUUUUUUUUAGAGAAAGAUGUUUGAAAAAUACAGACUCUCCAUGAUGAUGCUAUCAUCAUC
This 200-nucleotide long non-coding RNA is filed under the name Elaeis guineensis (African oil palm). Its description in RNAcentral is "long non-coding RNA (EGUI_LNC021908)". Lineage: Eukaryota; Viridiplantae; Streptophyta; Magnoliopsida; Arecales; Arecaceae. The record is from RNAcentral.